Long non-coding RNA from Papaver somniferum (opium poppy), 327 nucleotides. RefSeq lists it as uncharacterized. Lineage: Eukaryota; Viridiplantae; Streptophyta; Magnoliopsida; Ranunculales; Papaveraceae. The transcript is spliced from 2 exons. The record is from RefSeq and is a predicted model, not a curated record.
UCUAUGGAUGUACGCCACUUAGGUGUUCCGGCCUCUUCACAUAGAAUCCGAGAAACGUGAACUGGUGGGAGGUAAGGAAUUCAUUACGGUGGCUGAUCCACUGCUGGAAGGCCGUUAUCCAGAGCAAGGCUUGUACCAAGCUCUUUCUCUCACAGCUGAGUGUUUGCAUCGUAAAGAUGUGAAAAGGCACGUUAUCCAGAUCAGUUUGGCUUCAAACAUAUUAUUUUUAAUCCUUUGUGAAUUAUAAUCCUUUGUGUAUAAACUUGAAGAUGCAAACACUUGAAGAGAAUUAUAAUCCUUUGAAGAUGUGAAAAGGCACGUUAUCCA